GGUUAAGUGACUAAGCGUACACGGUGGAUGCCUUGGCAGUCAGAGGCGAUGAAAGACGUAAUAACUUGCGAUAAGCCCAGAUUAGGUAGUAAUAACCUUUUGAGUCUG
This 108-nucleotide ribosomal RNA is filed under the name Vibrio lentus. RNAcentral describes it as "partial 23S ribosomal RNA". It matches the Rfam family "Bacterial large subunit ribosomal RNA", at positions 1 to 107 of the family's 2925-position model. Lineage: Bacteria; Pseudomonadati; Pseudomonadota; Gammaproteobacteria; Vibrionales; Vibrionaceae. The record is from RNAcentral.